RNAcentral lists this ribosomal RNA (465 nucleotides) under Vreelandella stevensii. RNAcentral describes it as "partial 16S ribosomal RNA". It matches the Rfam family "Bacterial small subunit ribosomal RNA", at positions 338 to 795 of the family's 1533-position model. The record is from RNAcentral. Lineage: Bacteria; Pseudomonadati; Pseudomonadota; Gammaproteobacteria; Oceanospirillales; Halomonadaceae.
CCUACGGGAGGCAGCAGUGGGGAAUAUUGGACAAUGGGGGGAACCCUGAUCCAGCCAUGCCGCGUGUGUGAAGAAGGCCCUCGGGUUGUAAAGCACUUUCAGUGAGGAAGAACGCCUGGUGGUUAAUACCCAUCAGGAAAGACAUCACUCACAGAAGAAGCACCGGCUAACUCCGUGCCAGCAGCCGCGGUAAUACGGAGGGUGCGAGCGUUAAUCGGAAUUACUGGGCGUAAAGCGCGCGUAGGUGGCUUGAUAAGACGGUUGUGAAAGCCCCGGGCUCAACCUGGGAACGGCAUCCGGAACUGUCAAGCUAGAGUGCAGGAGAGGAAGGUAGAAUUCCCGGUGUAGCGGUGAAAUGCGUAGAGAUCGGGAGGAAUACCAGUGGCGAAGGCGGCCUUCUGGACUGACACUGACACUGAGGUGCGAAAGCGUGGGUAGCAAACAGGAUUAGAUACCCGUGUAGUC